RNAcentral lists this ribosomal RNA (653 nucleotides) under uncultured bacterium. RNAcentral's name for it is "bacterial SSU rRNA". It matches the Rfam family "Bacterial small subunit ribosomal RNA", at positions 1 to 621 of the family's 1533-position model. The record is from RNAcentral.
UAGCCGGUACUCCGAAUGCAACUAGAGUUAAUUUGAUCAUGGCUCAGAGUGCACGCGUGGNUUGUAGGCCUAACACAUGCAAGUCGAACGGCAGCACAGGAGAGCUUGCUCUCUGGGUGGCGAGUGGCGGACGGGUGAGGAAUACAUCGGAAUCUACUCUGUCGUGGGGGAUAACGUAGGGAAACUUACGCUAAUACCGCAUACGACCUACGGGUGAAAGCAGGGGAUCUUCGGACCUUGCGCGAUUGAAUGAGCCGAUGUCGGAUUAGCUAGUUGGCGGGGUAAAGGCCCACCAAGGCGACGAUCCGUAGCUGGUCUGAGAGGAUGAUCAGCCACACUGGAACUGAGACACGGUCCAGACUCCUACGGGAGGCAGCAGUGGGGAAUAUUGGACAAUGGGCGCAAGCCUGAUCCAGCCAUACCGCGUGGGUGAAGAAGGCCUUCGGGUUGUAAAGCCCUUUUGUUGGGAAAGAAAUCCAGCCGGCUAAUACCUGGUUGGGAUGACGGUACCCAAAGAAUAAGCACCGGCUAACUUCGUUGCCAGCAGCCGCGGUAAUACGAAGGGUGCAAGCGUUACUCGGAAUUACUGGGCGUAAAGCGUGCGUAGGUGGUUAUUUAAGUCCCUUGUAACCUGGUCAACUGAACUGUUGAUU